This 226-nucleotide ribosomal RNA is filed under the name uncultured bacterium. RNAcentral's name for it is "partial 16S ribosomal RNA". It matches the Rfam family "Bacterial small subunit ribosomal RNA", at positions 1275 to 1500 of the family's 1533-position model. The record is from RNAcentral.
CCAAAAAAUAGUCUCAGUUCAGAUUGCAGGCUGCAACUCGCCUGCAUGAAGUCGGAAUUGCUAGUAAUCGUAGGUCAGCAUACUACGGUGAAUACGUUCCCGGGCCUUGUACACACCGCCCGUCAAACCAUGAGAGUUGGCAACACCCGAAGUCGGUAGUCUAACCGCAAGGAGGACGCCGCCGAAGGUGGGGUCGAUGAUUAGGGUUAAGUCGUAACAAGGUAUC